Molecule: ribosomal RNA, 490 nt
Filed under: uncultured bacterium
Lineage: Bacteria
Description: partial 16S ribosomal RNA
Rfam family: Bacterial small subunit ribosomal RNA
Source: RNAcentral
AUUGAACGCUGGCGGCAGGCCUAACACAUGCAAGUCGAACGGUAACAGGAAGAAGCUUGCUUCUUUGCUGACGAGUGGCGGACGGGUGAGUAAUGUCUGGGAAACUGCCUGAUGGAGGGGGAUAACUACUGGAAACGGUAGCUAAUACCGCAUAACGUCGCAAGACCAAAAAGGGGGACCUUCGGGCCUCUUGCCAUCGGAUGUGCCCAGAUGGGAUUAGCUAGUAGGUGGGGUAACGGCUCACCUAGGCGACGAUCCCUAGCUGGUCUGAGAGGAUGACCAGCCACACUGGAACUGAGACACGGUCCGGACUCCUACGGGAGGCAGCAGUGGGGAAUAUUGCACAAUGGGCGCAAGCCUGAUGCAGCCAUGCCGCGUGUAUGAAGAAGGCCUUCGGGUUGUAAAGUACUUUCAGCGGGGAGGAAGGGAGUAAAGUUAAUACCUUUGCUCAUUGACGUUACCCGCAGAAGAAGCACCGGCUAACUCCGUG